RNAcentral lists this non-coding RNA (94 nucleotides) under Parapedobacter luteus. RNAcentral's name for it is "TPP sequence". It matches the Rfam family "TPP riboswitch aptamer (THI element)". Rfam says of the family: Vitamin B(1) in its active form thiamin pyrophosphate (TPP) is an essential coenzyme that is synthesised by coupling of pyrimidine and thiazole moieties in bacteria. The previously detected thiamin-regulatory element, thi box was extended, resulting in a new, highly conserved RNA secondary structure, the THI element, which is widely distributed in eubacteria and also occurs in some archaea. The record is from Rfam by way of RNAcentral. Lineage: Bacteria; Pseudomonadati; Bacteroidota; Sphingobacteriia; Sphingobacteriales; Sphingobacteriaceae.
CGUUGGCUUUAGGGGUAUUCUGAAGAAGAAUUGAGAAAGACCCUUUGAACCUGAUCCGGCUUAUACCGGCGUAGGGAAAAGUUCAACCGUCACU